This 552-nucleotide ribosomal RNA is filed under the name uncultured bacterium. RNAcentral describes it as "bacterial SSU rRNA". It matches the Rfam family "Bacterial small subunit ribosomal RNA", at positions 355 to 896 of the family's 1533-position model. The record is from RNAcentral.
UAGGGAAUCUCUCUNGCAAUGGACGGAAGUCUGACCGAGCAACGCCGCGUGAGUGAAGAAGGUUUUCGGAUCGUAAAGCUCUGUUGUAAGAGAAGAACGAGUGUGAGAGUGGAAAGUUCACACUGUGACGGUAUCUUACCAGAAAGGGACGGCUAACUACGUGCCAGCAGCCGCGGUAAUACGUAGGUCCCGAGCGUUGUCCGGAUUUAUUGGGCGUAAAGCGAGCGCAGGCGGUUAGAUAAGUCUGAAGUUAAAGGCUGUGGCUUAACCAUAGUACGCUUUGGAAACUGUUUAACUUGAGUGCAAGAGGGGAGAGUGGAAUUCCAUGUGUAGCGGUGAAAUGCGUAGAUAUAUGGAGGAACACCGGUGGCGAAAGCGGCUCUCUGGCUUGUAACUGACGCUGAGGCUCGAAAGCGUGGGGAGCAAACAGGAUUAGAUACCCUGGUAGUCCACGCCGUAAACGAUGAGUGCUAGGUGUUAGACCCUUUCCGGGGUUUAGUGCCGCAGCUAACGCAUUAAGCACUCCGCCUGGGGAGUACGACCGCAAGGUUG